Long non-coding RNA from Solanum tuberosum (potato), 203 nucleotides. RefSeq lists it as uncharacterized. The transcript has 3 exons. The record is from RefSeq and is a predicted model, not a curated record. Lineage: Eukaryota; Viridiplantae; Streptophyta; Magnoliopsida; Solanales; Solanaceae.
GCAGCGCGUGGGUAGCAGCAGCAGCAAACUCCGACAGCAGCUACAAACAGAGGGAGUAUACAUCAAAACUCACUGCGGCAGUGACGGAUUAAGAGGUGUUGAAAGGGUUGAUUUUGCGGGAUAGACAACUGAGGAAGCUCAACAUCAAAAAAAGUUGAUACAAGCUUCUUUCAUCAAAGUAGGAGAUAAGAUCGAUUUGUGUC